Molecule: non-coding RNA, 1088 nt
Organism: Camelina sativa (false flax)
Lineage: Eukaryota; Viridiplantae; Streptophyta; Magnoliopsida; Brassicales; Brassicaceae
Source: RefSeq, a predicted model, not a curated record
CUUUGUUUAUGUAAAGAGACAUCAAACCUAAUAUUUUUUUUUUCCGCCUCUGUUCUAACGUGAAAGAGUGAUUCAAUAAUUCCACAGAACUCCAGGAAUUUGGUUUGAUGGUGUGAAGCAGUUGUAAAGAAUCUGAUUCCACAUCUAUUACGGCUACAUAUAUAAAUCUAAAGAACAGACUUGAAGCAGUUGGUGUAUAAAGGAUCUAUCGGCUACAACAAGAUGAUAAACUCAUGCUCAUAAAUCAGCAUCUCUCCAGUCACGUAGUGUACUCAUCAUCGACGGCAGAUCGAGCUAGAACCAUGGAGAAUGCAGCUGGUAGCAAAUCAAUACAUCAGAGAUAUCGUCCCUACCUCUCUCUCUUUCGUUCACUAAUAGAGAUUUAAGAUUUGUUUUGAUUUCCAUUCAUUGUUUGGGCAAAAUUAGUUCUUUGAUCUUGAUUCUCUUUCAAUUUUAUUUUGCAAAUCGUUUUGUUUCUCUUUGAUUAUAAACCUGUGCCUGGGGCGAUUAACAUGCUAUUUAUAUCCUUUCCUUCCCACAGAUUUACUAUGCAAUGACAAAAAGAUCCUUAGAACAGAUGAGUUAUUCUGGGGCGAUGCCGAUUAUCAUAUCUUUUUCAGUUAUACAUACAAAGGCUAUUAUACAUCUCUAGAAAAAUGUUUGUGUUAUAGAUACAAAGGCUAUUAUGAUAUUACAACCUUUUGUUAUGUUUGGUCUAUUAAGGGUUUGUGUUCAUUUGUUUUGCAGAGCUUGAGACAAAGAGGAUCUAGCUGGAGAUAUUCAAAGAGAAUCACAGAAAAGCCAAUAAUCAUGCACUAUACCAACAUUCUACAAAAGGCAUAUCCUUUAACAUUGCUAUUUUAUGCUCUUGAAUCCUGAAUAUGAAUUUCCUAUCAUUAGAAUCAUGACACCUUAAAAUAUAGAAGGUUAAAUAAGACUUCUCUCCGUUAGUCACAUCUUAUAUUGUCAAGCUUUAGAGGGAAAAGACUCAGGUGGUGGCAAAUGAAGCCGAUACAUUAUUAUGUUUCAUUGCAAUAUUUCGUAUUUACUAAGUUUAUGGAUCAAAAAACGAGAUUCGAGUUUCUUUC